This 376-nucleotide non-coding RNA is filed under the name Hoeflea sp. IMCC20628. The record is from RNAcentral. RNAcentral also lists the same sequence under 1 other name. Lineage: Bacteria; Pseudomonadati; Pseudomonadota; Alphaproteobacteria; Hyphomicrobiales; Rhizobiaceae.
AUCAAUUGAGGUUCGAAUGGUUCCAGAAACCCAAGUUGGUUUUCCGGAUCAAAAGGGAAUGCGACGAGAUGGACCCAAUCAGGGCAUCUUUAUCGCAGCCGACCCCGCGACUGUAGAGCGGUUAGGCAAAUGUCACCGGCGCCGGGAGGCCAGAGUGACGGAAAUGCAAUGGUGUUUUUCCGUCAACUUGAAGCUCCGGACCGGACAAGCCACUGACGUGGCGGCAUGAUCAAUCGGCGCGGACGCCUCUUUGUCUACGAAUCGUCCCGUUUUCAUGACCGCCAUCACCGUUGGGAAGGCCGGCAUUUGCUGAUGAUCGACGGCAACGUCGACGCGACCCGCGAGCCAGGAGACCUGCCAUUCGCACCGGUUGAGA